CUAACUAGGAUUCCCUCAGUAACGGCGAGUGAAAGGGGAGGAGCUCAACCCUUAAUUCUCUCUCUCAGAUGAAGAAAUGUGGGAUCCUUUUUCAGAAAAAUGUCAGUGGAAAAUAUCUUGGAAAGGUUUGCCUAAGAGGGUGAAAGUCCCGUUAACACUGUACAUAUUUCAUACGGAAAAGGUUUGAAGAGUCACGCUCUUUGGAAGUAGAGCGUAAAAACGGGUGAUACACUUCAUCCGAGGCUAAAUAUCAUUUCGAGACCGAUAGUGAACAAGUACCGUGAGGGAAAGCUGAAAAGAACUUUGGAAAGAGAGUUAAACAGUGCUUGAAACCGAUAAGGAGGAAGUGUAUUUGUCUUGAUAUUGUACGCGGUUUGCCGUGUACGAUACAUGCUAUCCAUUUCGAAGGAUCGAGUAAAUCUUUUCGAGACCCAUCAAUAGUGUAGAUGAGGUGGAAUUGAUGUACUUAGCACUUGGAAUGGGAGAGCAUUGAGUUGAGGUUCAUCUUCCCCUUAGCCGUCAAGCUCCUUUCUCUUGAAACGGGUUUGUAGGAUAAGCGUAAGAUGAUAAUCGUUCUUCGCGCAGCA
Molecule: ribosomal RNA, 587 nt
Filed under: Parvilucifera infectans
Lineage: Eukaryota; Perkinsozoa; Perkinsida; Perkinsidae
Description: eukaryotic LSU rRNA
Rfam family: Eukaryotic large subunit ribosomal RNA
Source: RNAcentral